GGGCCGUUAGCUCAAUUGGCAGAGCACGGGACUCUUAAUCCUGGGGUUACAGGUUCGACUCCUGUACGGCCCACCA
Molecule: transfer RNA, 76 nt
Filed under: Synergistaceae bacterium
Lineage: Bacteria; Thermotogati; Synergistota; Synergistia; Synergistales; Synergistaceae
Also listed under: 3 other names
Description: tRNA-Lys
Rfam family: tRNA
About the family: Transfer RNA (tRNA) molecules are approximately 80 nucleotides in length.
Source: RNAcentral